This is a long non-coding RNA of Girardinichthys multiradiatus, 145 nucleotides long. RefSeq lists it as uncharacterized. The transcript has 2 exons. The record is from RefSeq and is a predicted model, not a curated record. NCBI's taxonomy places the organism in Eukaryota, Metazoa, Chordata, Actinopteri, Cyprinodontiformes, Goodeidae.
CUGGAACCCAGAAUAUUUAACGGCUUACAUGAAGAUUUAGGGCUUUGGUGAGUUCCUUCAGCUGGGACGCUGCUUAAAGACCAAAGAGAGAGGGGAUUCUUGCAUUAAAGUUUCAUCAAAUAAAGUGACUUAAAAAGCUCCACAA